Molecule: non-coding RNA, 76 nt
Organism: Myotis davidii
Lineage: Eukaryota; Metazoa; Chordata; Mammalia; Chiroptera; Vespertilionidae
Source: Rfam
GGCUGUUCUCAGGUGAUGCACAUGGGAAUCGGGCUCCCUCCUCUCUGGUUCUGGGGUGGGUCACCAGAGAACCACC